Molecule: long non-coding RNA, 478 nt
Organism: Sebastes umbrosus (honeycomb rockfish)
Lineage: Eukaryota; Metazoa; Chordata; Actinopteri; Perciformes; Sebastidae
Exons: 3
Source: RefSeq, a predicted model, not a curated record
CAUCUCAUCUAGUCGGGUCUCGUUAGGUCUUCACAUCUCAUCUAGUCGGGUCUCGUUAGGUCUUAACAUCUCAUCUAGUCGGGUCUCGUUAGGUCUUAACAUCUCGUCUAGUCGGGUCUUGUUAGGUCUUAACAUCUCGUCUAGUCAGGACUUGACAUCUCAUCUAGUCGGGUCUCGUUAGGUCUUCACAUCUCAUCUAGUCGGGUCUCGUUAGGUCUUCACAUCUCAUCUAGUCGGGUCUCGUUAGGUCUUAACAUCUCGUCUAGUCGGGUCUUGUUAGGUCUUAACAUCUCGUCUAGUCAGGACUUGACAUCUCAUCUAGUCGGGUCUCGUUAGGUCUUCACAUCUCAUCUAGUCGGGUCUCGUUAGGUCUUAACAUCUCAUCUAGUCGGGUCUCGUUAGGUCUUAACAUCUCAUCUAGUCGGGUCUCGUUAGGUCUUGUCCUGUGUUCCCUUCAAACACCGUCUGCAACGCAUAA